RNAcentral lists this long non-coding RNA (2308 nucleotides) under Musa acuminata (dwarf banana). RNAcentral describes it as "long non-coding RNA (MACU_LNC002581)". The record is from RNAcentral. Lineage: Eukaryota; Viridiplantae; Streptophyta; Magnoliopsida; Zingiberales; Musaceae.
GUCUUUGAGGAAUUGUCGCGAAGGAGACUACUUUUUGUUGCUCUGAUGAACAAUUUGUGUGAUUAUUGGCUGACGCAUCUCUUGUCUCCAUCAGUGAUACUUCGGUAGGGGUGGCAUCCGAUGCCUUCAAUACCUUCUUCAGCGAGACUGGUGCUGGCAAGCAUGUACCAAGGGCCAUCUUUGUAGAUCUGGAACCGACUGUCAUCGACGAAGUCAGAACCGGUGCGUAUCGCCAACUCUUCCAUCCCGAGCAGCUCAUCUCUGGGAAGGAGGAUGCCGCAAAUAACUUUGCUCGGGGCCACUAUACAGGUAUCGAUAUUGUUCUUCGUUUGCUAUGUUCACCUCUUCUUUCUUUUGAAUAGUCCCUUUUUCCUACCUUGGAUUUGACCCUGUAUGGUCUUGUGAGCUGCUGCAGUUGGGAAGGAAAUUGUAGAUCUCUGUCUCGAUCGUGUCAGAAAACUAGCGGACAAUUGUACUGGCUUGCAAGGGUUUUUGGUUUUCAAUGCUGUUGGUGGUGGUACUGGAUCCGGUUUGGGUUCCUUGCUUUUGGAACGAUUGUCUGUGGAUUAUGGGAAGAAGUCGAAGCUUGGUUUUACGAUAUACCCUUCUCCUCAGGUAUUAAGAAGUUGUGCAAAGGCUUUGAUACUUUCAGUUUGAUGGUGACUGUCUGAUAGAUCCUCUUUUCUGGAAAGUAGGUCUAUGUUAUUGAUUCUGAUUCGUUUUCAUUAUUAUUCUGAUGCUUUGAGACUUUGAAGUGAAGGCUUACUGUUAGUAUAUAAACUUUUAUCUGAUCUAGCUGAACCCAAAAAUCCUAUUAUCAGAAGAGUAUUGUUAGCAAUCAGAUAACAUCUCCAUUUCAUGGUGGAAUCAUCUAUGAAUCGAUCAAUUUUCCUGUAAAGCACCUGAAAUUAGGUUGGAACUAGUGCAUUCUGGUGUAAAUGGCUCCAAUUGCGCAAUGUGUGCUUCUAUGUAUGGAGUAUGGAGCAUCAUAAUAAAUCAAAUUAUUUUAAUGAAUUCAUAAUAGAAAAUGAAAUUAAGUCCCAAUUUGUUCCUGAAGUUUGUCACAAAGCUGACUAGGAUUUUAUCUUACAUUUUCUGUGGCCAUAGAGUCUGAUCAAGAACACAAGAACAAUAUAAGAACUUCCCAGAAUCUACAUAAAAUCCUUAACCAGCAAUGUACUUUCAGUGAUGAACCUUGAGAAGAAUAUGGAUACAGUAUCCUUGUAUAAUGAUACAUUCUUAUGAGCAAUGGUAGGUAGGUAAGUUGGUGUUUAGUUGCUAUCCUUGUUUGGUGCUUCUAUAUUGUGUAGUUGGUACUAGUGGCCCAGUUGGCGGAUGCUUGUGAAAAUAUUGAUUCUGUCUUUUCUUUUCUGUGAAAGAUGGUUAAUCCUAUGGUAUUUUGUUGUAGGUAUCUACUGCAGUUGUGGAACCAUACAACAGCGUCCUCUCCACACAUUCCUUGCUCGAGCACACUGAUGUUGCAGUUCUUUUAGACAAUGAAGCCAUCUACGAUAUCUGCAGAAGGUCUCUGGAUAUCGAGCGGCCAACCUACACCAACUUGAACCGGCUGAUAUCUCAGAUCAUAUCCUCCUUGACUACCUCUCUGAGGUUUGAUGGGGCCAUUAAUGUGGAUGUCACAGAGUUCCAGACCAAUCUUGUUCCGUAUCCCAGAAUUCAUUUCAUGCUGUCCUCCUAUGCCCCCGUUAUUUCUGCUGAGAAAGCAUACCAUGAACAGCUCUCUGUCCCUGAGAUCACAAAUGCAGUAUUCGAGCCAUCCAGUAUGAUGGCCAAAUGCGAUCCAAGGCAUGGAAAAUACAUGGCUUGUUGUCUGAUGUACCGAGGAGAUGUUGUGCCUAAGGAUGUCAAUGCCGCUGUUGCAACCAUCAAGACCAAGAGAACUGUGCAAUUUGUGGACUGGUAAGCUUAUACCAACAUCACCACUUAUUGCAUCAUAUGUUAUUUUGGGUUGGAAUUGACUGCUUCAUCCUAAUCCAUGAAGGUGUCCUACUGGAUUUAAGUGUGGAAUCAACUAUCAGCCACCAACAGUGGUUCCUGGAGGAGAUUUGGCUAAGGUUCAGCGUGCCGUGUGCAUGAUCAGCAACAACACUGCUGUGGCCGAGGUGUUCUCACGAAUCGACCAUAAGUUUGACCUCAUGUAUGCAAAGCGUGCGUUCGUUCACUGGUACGUCGGUGAAGGGAUGGAAGAAGGUGAGUUCUCAGAGGCACGAGAGGACCUGGCUGCCCUGGAAAAGGACUACGAGGAGGUCGGAGCAGAGGGUGCAGAUGAUGAAGAGGAUGAGCCAGAGGA